UGAUCCCCGACUUUGCGUAUUAGCUCUAAGCUCUUUCGGUCCAUUUUUAUGAUCCCCGACUUUGCGUAUUAGCUCUAAGUUCUUUCGUUCGUUUUUAUGAUCCCCGACUUUGCGAAUUAGCUCUAAGUUAUUUCGGUCGUUUUUAUGAUCUCCGACUUUCAUAUUAGCUCUAAGUUCUUUCUGUUCGUUUUUAUGAUCCCCGACUUUGCGUAUUAGCUCUUAAGUUCUUUCGGUCCCUCUUUAUAAUUCCCGACUUUGCGUAAUAGCUCUUAGUACUUUCGGUCAUUUUUAUGAUCCCUGACUUUGCGUAUUAGCUCUAAGUUCUAUCGGUUCGUUUUUAUGAUCCCCGACUUUGCGUAUAAGCUCUAAGUUCUCUCGGUAUGUUUUUAUGAUCCCCGACUUUGCGUAUUAGCUCUAAGUUCUUUCGGUCCGUUUUUAUGAUCCCAGACUUUACAUAUUAGCUCUAAGUUCUUUCAGUCCGUUUUUAUGAUCUCCGACUUUGCAUAUUAGCUCUAAGUUCCUUCGGUCCGUUUUUAUGAUCCCCAACUUUGCGUAUUAGCUCUAAGUUUUUUCUGUCCGUUUUUAUGAUCCCUGACUUUGCAUAUUAGCUCUAACUUAUUUCGGUCCGUUUUUAUGAUCCCCGACUUUGCGUAUUAGCUCUUAAGUUCUUUCGGUCCGUCUUUAUAAUUCCCGACUUUGCGUAAUAGCUCUUAGUUCUUUCGGUCAUUUUUAUGAGCCCCGACUUUGCGUAUUAGCUCUAAGUUCUAUCGGUCCGUUUUUAUGAUCACCGACUUUGCG
This 798-nucleotide long non-coding RNA is filed under the name Capsella grandiflora. Its description in RNAcentral is "long non-coding RNA (CGRA_LNC000586)". The record is from RNAcentral. Lineage: Eukaryota; Viridiplantae; Streptophyta; Magnoliopsida; Brassicales; Brassicaceae.